ACGGAAGGCAGCAGUGGGGAAUAUUGGACAAUGGGGGCAACCCUGAUCCAGCGACGCCGCGUGAGUGAAGAAGUAUUUCGGUAUGUAAAGCUCUAUCAGCAGGGAAGAUGAUGACGGUACCUGACUAAGAAGACCCGGCUAACUACGUGCCAGCAGCCGCGGUAAUACGUAGGGGGCAAGCGUUAUCCGGAUUUACUGGGUGUAAAGGGAGUGUAGGCGGUCAGACAAGUCAGAUGUGAAAGCCCGGGGCUCAACUCCAGGACUGCAUUUGAAACUGUAGGACUAGAGUACUGGAGAGGCAAGCGGAAUUCCUAGUGUAGCGGUGAAAUGCGUAGAUAUGAGGAGGAACACCGGUGGCGAAGGCGGCUUACUGGACAGAGACUGACGCUGAGGCUCGAAAGCGUGGGGAGCAAACAGGAUUAGAUACCCUGGUA
Molecule: ribosomal RNA, 434 nt
Filed under: uncultured Lachnospiraceae bacterium
Lineage: Bacteria; Bacillati; Bacillota; Clostridia; Lachnospirales; Lachnospiraceae
Description: partial 16S ribosomal RNA
Rfam family: Bacterial small subunit ribosomal RNA
Source: RNAcentral